RNAcentral lists this ribosomal RNA (737 nucleotides) under uncultured bacterium. Its description in RNAcentral is "bacterial SSU rRNA". It matches the Rfam family "Bacterial small subunit ribosomal RNA", at positions 51 to 778 of the family's 1533-position model. The record is from RNAcentral.
ACACAUGCAAGUCGAGGGGCAGCAUCAUCAAAGCUUGCUUUGAUGGAUGGCGACCGGCGCACGGGUGAGUAACACGUAUCCAACCUGCCGACAACACUGGGAUAGCCUUUCGAAAGAAAGAUUAAUACCGGAUGGUAUAGUUUUCCCGCAUGGGAUGAUUAUUAAAGAAUUUCGGUUGUCGAUGGGGAUGCGUUCCAUUAGGCAGUUGGCGGGGUAACGGCCCACCAAACCUGCGAUGGAUAGGGGUUCUGAGAGGAAGGUCCCCCACAUUGGAACUGAGACACGGUCCAAACUCCUACGGGAGGCAGCAGUGAGGAAUAUUGGUCAAUGGACGAGAGUCUGAACCAGCCAAGUAGCGUGAAGGAUGACUGCCCUAUGGGUUGUAAACUUCUUUUAUACGGGAAUAAAGUGAGCCACGUGUGGCUUUUUGUAUGUACCGUAUGAAUAAGGAUCGGCUAACUCCGUGCCAGCAGCCGCGGUAAUACGGAGGAUCCGAGCGUUAUCCGGAUUUAUUGGGUUUAAAGGGAGCGUAGGCGGGUUGUUAAGUCAGUUGUGAAAGUUUGCGGCUCAACCGUAAAAUUGCAGUUGAUACUGGCGACCUUGAGUGCAACAGAGGUAGGCGGAAUUCGUGGUGUAGCGGUGAAAUGCUUAGAUAUCACGAAGAACUCCGAUUGCGAAGGCAGCUUACUGGAUUGUAACUGACGCUGAUGCUCGAAAGUGUGGGUAUCAAACAGGAU